This 507-nucleotide ribosomal RNA is filed under the name uncultured bacterium. RNAcentral's name for it is "bacterial SSU rRNA". It matches the Rfam family "Bacterial small subunit ribosomal RNA", at positions 10 to 507 of the family's 1533-position model. The record is from RNAcentral.
AGUUUGAUCAUGGCUCAGAGUGAACGCUGGCGGCAGGCCUAAUACAUGCAAGUCGAACGGCAGCACAGCAGAGCUUGCUCUGUGGGUGGCGAGUGGCGGACGGGUGAGGAAUACAUGGGAAUCUGCCCAGUCGUGGGGAUAACGUAGGGAAACUUACGCUAAUACCGCAUGCGCCCUUCGGGGGAAAGCCGGGGACCUUCGGGCCUGGCGCGAUUGGAUGAGCCCAUGUCGGAUUAGCUAGUUGGCGGGGUAAUGGCCCACCAAGGCGAGGAUCCGUAGCUGGUCUGAGAGGAUGAUCAGCCACACUGGAACUGAGACACGGUCCAGACUCCUACGGGAGGCAGCAGUAGGGAAUAUUGGACAAUGGGCGCAAGCCUGAUCCAGCCAUGCCGCGUGAGUGAAGAAGGCCCUCGGGUUGUAAAGCUCUUUUGUCCGGAAAGAAAAGCGCCGGGUUAAUACCCUAGUGUCCUGACGGUACCGGAAGAAUAAGCACCGGCUAACUUCGUG